RNAcentral lists this ribosomal RNA (253 nucleotides) under uncultured bacterium. Its description in RNAcentral is "partial 16S ribosomal RNA". It matches the Rfam family "Bacterial small subunit ribosomal RNA", at positions 524 to 776 of the family's 1533-position model. The record is from RNAcentral.
UACGUAGGGGGCAAGCGUUGUCCGGAUUUAUUGGGCGUAAAGAGCGUGUAGGCGGCCAGGUAGGUCUGCUGUGAAAACUCGAGGCUCAACCUCGGGUCUGCAGUCGAUACGGGCAAACUAGAGUAUUGCAGGGGAGACUGGAAUUCCUGGUGUAGCGGUGAAAUGCGCAGAUAUCAGGAGGAACACCGGUGGCGAAGGCGGGUCUCUGGGCAAUAACUGACGCUGAGGAGCGAAAGCGUGGGGAGCGAACAGG